UCAUUGCCCUUCACUGGACUCGCCAGUUUGUCUACCUCGUUUCUGUAGUGGGGGGCCCAAAACUGGACACAGUUUAAUUUGUGUACACAUGUAAAUCCAAAUGGCUUUAGUUGCCUUCAGAAUACUGAAUGUUGUUUAGCUGCUGCUAGCUUCUCUGUCUGAGCUUGAUAGACAGAGUCCAGUAUAUCUUUGCAAGUGUCUAGAAGAUGUGUGGGUAGCAGGUCCUUGUGAUGCUUGUUUUGUUUCUGGUUCUCUAUUGGUUUUCUUUUGUCUUUUCCCAGACUUCCUAUCCUGUCUAAUCAGUGGUAUGGACUGCACUGGUGGUGAGCAUAUGUUCCAAUAAUGCGCUUCACCCUUUCUUGAAGUUCAGGACCUCUGUGCCAGUGGAAUUAGCAUCUUUCUCCAGAACAUGAGCGCCAUAUAAAUGCCACAAAGCUGUUAUCAUAUCAUAGGACAGAUACAGUAAUUCUGCACAUGAAAACAAAGAACAAGAACUUUAUUGCAAGGAGAUAUGCCAGCAUUACCAGGCUCUUGAAUGUGAUCAACUGAAGAUACAACUGGAUUAUGCUGUUUUGCUAAUCUCGCUUCUAAACUGUUUCAGGUAAUGUUUCUAGUUCCGUUAAUCUAAGAAUUCCAGGCUACCUUUGCACUUAGUUGCACCCACACUGGAAGAAGUGAACUUUGUUCAGUUCAUUCUGUUCAGGUUUCCUUGUAAAGUGGAAUUUUAAACUGAAUAAAUAAAGCUCUCUUGCUUACCUUGGC
Molecule: long non-coding RNA, 762 nt
Organism: Gavialis gangeticus (Gharial)
Lineage: Eukaryota; Metazoa; Chordata; Crocodylia; Gavialidae
Exons: 3
Source: RefSeq, a predicted model, not a curated record